RNAcentral lists this long non-coding RNA (5817 nucleotides) under Homo sapiens (human). RNAcentral's name for it is "non-protein coding lnc-IL15RA-1:7". The record is from RNAcentral. Lineage: Eukaryota; Metazoa; Chordata; Mammalia; Primates; Hominidae.
AGAGCAUGGCUGCUGGGCAGCCAGGUCAACCGGACGGCAAGGCAGGGGUUGGCCGGGGAAGCACUGCGCCGCCCCUGCAUGCCCUGCAUCCUCGGGUCCUGGGAGGGCUGCUCAGUAACUGGAAGGAAAAUGAAACUGAAAAAGAGCAAGGGUCCCGUAGGAUUGAACACAGUUGGUGAAACUUGGGCCGUCUGCCUCAAGUCCCCGCUUGGCAAAACCACUCCCUCCUGGUGGACGCCCUCACCAUGAAGGUUAGUGCUUCUCUUUCUGAAGCUGUGUCUUCAUUCCUCUGGGCAGAGAGCCAACAGUCCUAGUUACAGAAGUGUAUAACUGGGUGCCAUGGCUCACCUAGGGUCCCAGCUACUCAGGAAUCUGAGGUGGGAGGAUCGCUUGAGCCCAGGAGCAUGAGGCUGCAGUGAGCGGUGAUCGCGUCACUGCGCUCCAGCCUGGGCGACAGAGUGGGACUCUUGUCUCCAAAAUAAUUCAAAAAUGGGGUGUAAUCUUCAAAAUCUCCUUGGAGUUAAUGCCACCCAGAGGGUACUCAAAUUGCUGUCAGUGUCCCGGGGCUGCAGUGGCUGCAGGUGUUUUCCAAGUGUUCUGGGAAGCCCUGGUGGCUGCAGAGGCACCUGAGGGGCCACCACAGGCGGGAGCGGAGAAGGAACUCUGGGUGCCCAUCCCCCUCCUGAGUGACCACAGCGGCUGCAUUUGUUAACUGGAAGUAAAAUUAAGCCUAAAGAAUUCCAUGGCUAAGAACAUCUGAAAGCCUUCCAUGCUAUUAAAUAUUUAUUUUAUUGUUCAUCCUGGACUCCAUAGGCAGAUGCUUUAAAAAAACAAACAAACUGAUCUUUUGGAAGAGUUCUAACUCCAACUCUUCACACAGUGGUAGUGGAAAUACUAUGGGUUUGGGAUUGAACUUGAGUUUUCAUCCAAGCUCUGCUCUGUGAUACUGAGCACAGUGGGCCCAGCCCCGUGACUCUUUAGAGCCUGUUUCUUCAUCUGCAAAUGGCGGCUGUCAUCUGCCUCCCAGGUUUGCUGUGAGGACUGAAGGAAUUCACAUACACAAAGGCCUGAUAGCGUCUACCUGCAGGAGGCUCCUAAUAAACGUUGAGUUCACUUCCUUAAUGAGGUAUAUUUACUUACAUGGUAAUCAGCACCUGCCCCUUCCUUCGCAAAUACAUUCCCACUUUUUUAGGAUUUAUUAUUUCACCCAGCCGUGUGCAUCAUGGAAAGCUGACCUCAUCCCAAGCUCCAGGAAAUAAAACCCUGAUGAUUUGAAGCCAUUCUUCCUUACUAUGAUUGGCUUAGGAGUGGGCAGGUAGCCCAGUUCUGACCAACAAUAUGUGAGUCAGCUGGAGAAGCCUGUGGGAAAGGCUUUCUUGCGCCUCUUCCCAGACAAAACCAGGUCCAGCUGCUUGUUCUCAUGGUCCAAUAACAAGCUGCAGACAGAGUGGGGAAGAAGGGAGUUUAUUUCUGGUUACAGGGAGAAGGUCAGAGUAACUCACCAGACUAAUUUAAAAUUAUAAGUUUUUUUUCAGUGCUUAUACACAUUUAAACCAUAUGCCUAUGUGCAGGAGUACACCUCCAAGCUGAAGUAUAUUCCUCUGUUUAAUCUUUCACUAGGGUCUGGGGUCUGGAAAAUUACUUCAGAGCCUUGAAACAAUUACUUCAUUUUUUUUCUUUCUUAUUUUAGAGGGAGGGUCUCACUAUGUUGCCCAGGCUGGUCUUGAACUCCUGGGCUCAAGCGACCCUCCUCCCUCAGCCUCCCAAAGUGCUGGGAUUGCGGGCGUGAGCCGCUGCUCCUGGCCCAAUUACUUAAUUUAAAGUGGAUCAUGGUACAAGGUCCACAAGAACGCCUCCAUUAUUUUAAUUAAACUCUAAGGUCUGGGAGAAAGCCCAGGUGGGGUCUUAAUCGACUUGUUUUUACACUCUAGCCUUUGUAUUAAGGCACCAGUUUCUCCAAUUUUCCUCGUUUAAUUUAUAUAUUCCUCAGAGUUAUAGUAAGGUGUUGGUGAGGCUGGCUGCUCUGGUUGCUAAGAGAGACCCGGCCUGCCACACUCCUAAGAGACACAGAAGACCAGCCUACCCUUCCCUUGCCUCCCGUGACACUGCCCUGCAGGUGGCUGGCCAAGAGAAGCCUGCCCGGCGACGCUGAGGCACCGAACAUGAGCAGGGGAGGAAGGAAUGCCUGGGAGCAGCUGAGCCGAGCCCCUGCCACCAGCCUCCUCCGCACGCCCGUGGAAUCAGCACUUUCUGCUUCCCGCCCCUGAGAGCCUUGCUCUGGGGCCACUCACAGCCAAUUAAGUGGGGAUGUUGUAAGAGACUCUAAAAUACGUGGAGCUGGCUGAGGACGCGGGACCGACCCCAUUAUGUGUGUGUGAGGCUGAUUAAAGUGUUACCUGUCACCAGGUGUCGCCAAUUCUUGGUGAAGCUCUCUCCAUGUGACCUCCAUGCUACUUAUUUUUUAUUUUAUUGUUCAUCCUGGACUCCAAAGGCUGAUGCUAUUUUUUUUUUUAAUGUGAUCUUUUGGAAGAGUUCUAACUGCAACUCUUCACAUAGUGGUAGUAGAAUAUACCAUGGGUAUUAAAAACUAAAGCAUUUCUUAAUCUGUGGGGUCCAGAUUAGGAAGACAUGUAUUAGGAAAAUGAUUACUUUAAAAAAAAUAAAAAAUUCAGGCCAGGCAUAGUGGCUCACGCCUGUAAUCCCAGCACUUUGGGAGGCUGAGGCAGGUGGAUCACCUGAGGUCAGGAGUUCAAGACCAGCCUGGCCGACAUGGUGAAACCCCGUCUCUACCAAAAAUACAAAAAUUAGCUGGUUGUGGUCACAUAUGCUUGUAAUUCCAGCUACUUGGGAGGCUGAGACAGGAGAAUCGCUUGAACCCGGGAGGCAGAGGUUGCAGUGAGCGGAGAUCUCACCACUGCACUCCAGGCUGGGUGACAGAGUGAGGCUCUGUCUCAAAAAAAAAAAAAAAAAAGAAAAGAAAAAAAAAUCAGAACCACUGAAUUGUACAUUUAAAAAAGGAAGAAAAGAAAAAUCCAGGAUGUCAGCACUGUGCUGGCCGCUUCCUGGGGCCCUCAGUGAGUUCCUUUAAAAGACAGGCUUAGGGUGACAGAGGCCAGCCUGGAAAUGGACAGGAAACGCCAGCCUUUCCGCUGCGGUCCAACUUGGGCUGACGCCCUCAUCGCAACAGGAGAGCCCUGCAGGGUUGAGGCAGGAGGGUGACCGGCGUUAGUCUUCAUUGUAAGAUUGCAGGUCCCUCUACAUGGGAGCGAGUUGGGCCAGGGCAGAGGCACAGAGCAACAUAGACUACAACUGGUCCAGGAGGCAGAACGGUGGAGGGUCGCGGGCGGGUGGGUGGUGCACCCUGGAGGCCGCGUGGAGCUUCCCAGUGAACUGGCAUGAAGAAAAGUAUCACAGCCCGAUGGUGGUGCUGUUUCUGGAGGUGGGGAAGGGUGCGUGGAGGAGCCAGCCAGGCUCGGAAGGAAAUCAGGGGCUGCAUGUGGGACAUGGCAGGGCUGAGAUGUCACGAAGACAGCAAAUGGAGUGAUCGACUGGCGACCUUGGCGUUUGAGUGGGAAGCCCCCCUCCCUCCACCUAACCUACCUCUCAGCCCACGCCACUAGGGAUAAAACACACACAGGUCCCCAGUGAGGAGGAUCGCAGGGGACGGCACCUCCUGGGCCCUCAUGGAGAACCUGUCCCUUAAGUAGGCCAGGCAGAGGGAGAGCCCCUGCCGGCUAAGGGAGCCCUGCCCCCCACACCAGCCCAGCUGUGCAGAGGUGCCUUGGCCAGGGGCGUGCGUGUAGCACUGUCUUCAUGUCUGGGCAAGGAGCUGGAGGAACCCUGCCUGCCUCGGUUCAGACGUCUCUACCGCACCCACUCACUGCAAAUGUAGAGUGAUCAGCUUCCAGGCUCUCGGUGUACCCCACAUUGCUAAAGCCAGGGGUUCAGGGUGACUAGGAAGGACUGAAGGGCAAGGAUCAGACUUGAAAAACAUGUUAAAUUGCUAAUAGUCUGAUUCUAGGGGUGUCAAAGUCCCUUUGUGAUACAGUGAGUUGCUCCCAGACACAGACCAAAUGCCACUACAGGACGGAAGCUGGGCAGGCAGCGUGACAGUGACCAGCUUCCCAGGCAGGAAGGUCCCACGGGGGUGCUGCACUGCCUUAAGUUUAUUAAGCUGUGUCUGAGUCCACCAUGCGACGUCUCUGCCCUCAUGCCUGGGCUGCUAAAGGAAAAAUACCAGCUAAAAGGAUGGUGUUUGAUGUCAACUGGGAGGGUGCUGCCCGGCACACCUGUGUUUUCCGUCACCUUCCACUCCAUUCCCUUCUAUGUCCAUCCCAAACGCUAAACCCAGCACUUUGGGAGACUGAGGCAGGUGGACAGCUUGAGCCCAGGAGUUUCAGACCAGCCUGGGCAACAGAGCGACACCUCAUCUCUACAAAAAAUAAGCAAAAAUUAGCCGGGCAUGGUGGCAUGCACCUGUAGUCCCAGCUACUUGAGGGGCUGAGGUGGGAGGGUCACCUGGGCCUGGAGGUCAAGGCUACAGUGAACUGUCACUGCACCACUGCACUCCAGCCUGAGUGACAGAGUAAGACCCUGUCUCAAAAAAACCAGAAAAUUAUUGGGUGAGAGCAACCUAAACUUCCUCCCUAACCACUUACAACGUACCCCUUUCUCCUUCAUCUCUCCCGUCCCAAUCCCUCUCAUCUGGCUUCCAUCUCUCCUCUCUGAAUUUGCUUCCUCUCAACACAUAACCCUGCACAAACCUCUCUCGUUUUAAAAGCAAAAACCCCUCCCUAAGGCCACGUCAUCCCCUAUCCACUUCUUGCCUCUUGCCAGCCUUGCUUUCUGAGAACUAGUCUACGUGGUGUCCGUAUCUUCACCUCCCACUGGUAUUUUAUGGUUCUAUCAUACAGACACAUAGUUUAGAGCCAACAGUUAUGUAAGACACCUACCAAAAAGCUCCUCCACCUGCCCGUUCCCCCUCCCAAAAGGAAACUUUUAGAAAUCUUUCUGCUGAGUGUCUCGGUGUGUGUUAUGCAUCUCCAAGAUAUCUCUAAAUGAUGGGCUCACAUGGGCUUCUGCUUCCAUGUUUGAGUUUCAGGCACUGUGACUGACUUCCUGCCGCAGAGGCUAAGAUUCGGCUCGUUCACUCCACAUGUGCACACAGCUCCUACCUGCAGAACACGCCCACCCUUAUGAAGGCCAUGAAAGCAGGUACACUCCACUGAGCUGGUGGUGGGGGGGGUCAAUUACAGUUCUCUCCUACACAACCUGUCGCCUUCCAGAGGACUAAUCAUUGCCUUUUUCCCCCCAGGCUACGUCCUGCGCUCUGUCACCCAGGCUGUGGUGGUCAGUGGUGCAAUCAUGGCUCACAGCAGCCUCAACCUCCCAGGCUCAAGCCAUCCUCCUGCCCCAGCCUCCCAAGUAGCUGGGAACAAGGCAUGCGCCACCACACCUAAUUUUUUAUACUUUUUGUAGAGAUGGGGUCUGCCUAUGUGGCCCAGGUUGGUCUUGAACUCCUGGGCUCAAACAAUCCUCCCACCUCAGCUUCCCAAAGUGCUGUGAUCACAGGUGUGAGCCACCACGCCCGGCCAAUGUGGGCCUAUUUUCACCCAUUGUCCUGGGCAUUUAAUGAGUCAUUUCAAUCCAGAAACCCUUACCAUCAGUUUCAGGUAAUUUUCAUAAUUAAAAAAAAUGUUUCGGCCAGGUGCGGUGGCUCACGCCUGUAAUCCCAGCACUUUGGGAGGCCGAGGUGGGCAGAUCACGAGGUCAGAAAAUCGAGACCAUCCUGGCCAACACAGUGAAACCCCAUCUCUA